GUAGGUGGCAAGCGUUGUCCGGAAUUAUUGGGCGCAAAGCGCGCGCAGGCGGUUUUUAAGUCUGAUGUGAAAGCCCACGGCUCAACCGUGGAGGGUCAUUGGAAACUGGAGAACUUGAGUACAGAAGAGGAAAGCGGAAUUCCACGUGUAGCGGUGAAAUGCGUAGAGAUGUGGAGGAACACCAGUGGCGAAGGCGGCUUUCUGGUCUGUAACUGACGCUGAGGCGCGAAAGCGUGGGGAGCAAACAGGGAUUAGAUACCCUGGUAGUCCACGCCGUAAACGAUGAGUGCUAAGUGUUAGGGGGUUUCCGCCCCCUUAGUGCUGCAGCUAACGCAUUAAGCACUCCGCCUGGGGAGUACGGCCGCAAGGCUG
This 372-nucleotide ribosomal RNA is filed under the name uncultured organism. RNAcentral's name for it is "partial 16S ribosomal RNA". It matches the Rfam family "Bacterial small subunit ribosomal RNA", at positions 527 to 896 of the family's 1533-position model. The record is from RNAcentral.